This 253-nucleotide ribosomal RNA is filed under the name uncultured bacterium. RNAcentral describes it as "partial 16S ribosomal RNA". It matches the Rfam family "Bacterial small subunit ribosomal RNA", at positions 524 to 776 of the family's 1533-position model. The record is from RNAcentral.
UACGUAGGCAGCGAGCGUUGUUCGGAAUUACUGGGCGUAAAGAGUGUGUAGGCGGUGCUCUAAGUUCGGUGUGAAAUCUCCUGGCUCAACUGGGAGGGUGGUCGCGAGACGGCUGGGCUUGAGGCUCGGUGAGGGGCGUGGAAUUCCGGGUGGAGCGGUGAAAUGCGUAGAGAUCCGGAGGAACACCGACGGCGCAGGCAGCGCCCUAGACGAGACCUGACGCUCAGGCACGAAAGCGCGGGGAGCGAACGGG